CGCGGGAUAGCUCAGUCGUAGAGCGCUAGGUUCAUACCCCAGAGGUCACGGGUUCAAUCCCCGUUCCCGCAACCA
This 75-nucleotide transfer RNA is filed under the name Gammaproteobacteria bacterium. RNAcentral's name for it is "tRNA-Met". It matches the Rfam family "tRNA". Rfam says of the family: Transfer RNA (tRNA) molecules are approximately 80 nucleotides in length. RNAcentral also lists the same sequence under 1 other name. Lineage: Bacteria; Pseudomonadati; Pseudomonadota; Gammaproteobacteria. The record is from RNAcentral.